Molecule: microRNA precursor, 61 nt
Filed under: Pristionchus pacificus
Lineage: Eukaryota; Metazoa; Nematoda; Chromadorea; Rhabditida; Neodiplogasteridae
Description: mir-8364 microRNA precursor family
Rfam family: mir-8364 microRNA precursor family
Source: Rfam by way of RNAcentral
UCUUCAUUUCGCACACUCUCUCGCAUCUCUGACCGGUGAGAGAGUGUGUGAAAUGAAGAGA